CAGCCGUAAACUAUGCUCGCUAGGUGUCAGGCAUGGCGCGACCGUGUCUGGUGCCGCAGGGAAGCCGUGAAGCGAGCCACCUGGGAAGUACGGCCGCAAGGCUGAACUUAAAGGAUUGGCGGGGGAGCACAACAACGGGUGGAGCCUGCGGUUUAAUUGGACUCAACGCCGGACAACUCACCGGGGACGACAGCAAUAUGUAGGCCAGGCUGAAGACCUUGCCUGAAUCGCUGAGAGGAGGUGCAUGGCGUAGACGUCU
This 259-nucleotide ribosomal RNA is filed under the name uncultured archaeon. RNAcentral's name for it is "partial 16S ribosomal RNA". It matches the Rfam family "Archaeal small subunit ribosomal RNA", at positions 748 to 1009 of the family's 1478-position model. The record is from RNAcentral.